ACUCCUACGGGAGGCAGCAGUGGGGAAUAUUGCACAAUGGGGAAACCCUGAUGCAGCCAUGCCGCGUGUGUGAAGAAGGCCUUCGGUUGUAAAGCACUUUCAGUAGGGAGGAAGGUAGUGUAGUUAACACCUGCAUUAUUUGACGUUACCUACAGAAGAAGCACCGGCUAACUCCGUGCCAGCAGCCGCGGUAAUACGGAGGGGUGCGAGCGUUAAUCGGAAUUACUGGGCGUAAAGCGCAUGCAGGCGGCCUGUUAAGUCAGAUGUGAAAGCCCGGGGGCUUAACCUCGGAAUUGCAUUUGAAACUGGCAGGCUAGAGUCUUGUAGAGGGGGUAGGAAUUUCAGGUGUAGCGGUGAAAUGCGUAGAGAUCUGAAGGAAUACCAGUGGCGAAGGCGGCCCCCUGGACAAAGACUGACGCUCAGAUGCGAAAGCGUGGGGAGCAAACAGGAUUAGAUACCCUGGUAGCACAGAG
This 473-nucleotide ribosomal RNA is filed under the name uncultured bacterium. RNAcentral's name for it is "bacterial SSU rRNA". It matches the Rfam family "Bacterial small subunit ribosomal RNA", at positions 335 to 799 of the family's 1533-position model. The record is from RNAcentral.